RNAcentral lists this ribosomal RNA (283 nucleotides) under uncultured prokaryote. RNAcentral's name for it is "partial 16S ribosomal RNA". It matches the Rfam family "Bacterial small subunit ribosomal RNA", at positions 524 to 803 of the family's 1533-position model. The record is from RNAcentral.
UACGUAGGUGGCGAGCGUUAUCCGGAUUUACUGGGUGUAAAGGGCGUGUAGGCGGGUUGGCAAGUCGGGUGUGAAAUUUACAGGCUUAACUUGUAACGGUCAUCCGAAACUGCCGAUCUUGAGUGUCGGAGAGGAAAGUGGAAUUCCUAGUGUAGCGGUAAAAUGCGUAGAGAUUAGGAGGAACACCAGUGGCGAAGGCGACUUUCUGGACGAUAACUGACGCUGAGGCGCGAAAGUGUGGGGAGGCAAACAGGAUUAGAUACCCUGGUAGUCCCUGAGCGGG